Molecule: ribosomal RNA, 381 nt
Filed under: Triticum aestivum (bread wheat)
Lineage: Eukaryota; Viridiplantae; Streptophyta; Magnoliopsida; Poales; Poaceae
Description: partial small subunit ribosomal RNA
Source: RNAcentral
AUGGCCAUUCACUCCCGUUGCCGACCGAGCCCCUUGCAACGUGUUUCUCUCGGUCCGUCGCCGUCUCAGGACAACCACGCAACCAGCCAACGAAGAGGCCCCCCCCUCCCCUCUUCCUCCCCGCCCACUUGCCCCCUCCUCUCCCUUUCCGCCACGGAGAUUCUUGCCUCCGCCUCUCCUCUCCGGUCCACACCUGCGGAGGCGCCGCGCAGGCCACAGGAGAGGAGGGGAGGUGGCACCUGUUCCUGUUGGGCUUCUUGUCCUCUCCAGCUCCCCUUUCGCCGUCGCCAUAGAAUAAUAUCGUGGAUUGAACCAGUAAAACUAAUAUCUUUGCUCGUAUUCACCGUGCGUGUUCCACGCCCCAGCCAGCGCCCUCCUUAG